UACGUAGGGUGCAAGCAUUAAUCGGAUUUACUGGGCGUAAAGCGUGCGCAGGCGGUUAUGCAAGACAGAUGUGAAAUCCCCGGGCUCAACCUGGGAACUGCAUUUGUGACUGCAUAGCUGGAGUGCGGCAGAGGGGGAUGGAAUUCCGCGUGUAGCAGUGAAAUGCGUAGAUAUGCGGAGGAACACCGAUGGCGAAGGCAAUCCCCUGGGCCUGCACUGACGCUCAUGCACGAAAGCGUGGGGAGCAAACAGG
This 253-nucleotide ribosomal RNA is filed under the name uncultured bacterium. RNAcentral describes it as "partial 16S ribosomal RNA". It matches the Rfam family "Bacterial small subunit ribosomal RNA", at positions 524 to 776 of the family's 1533-position model. The record is from RNAcentral.